RNAcentral lists this ribosomal RNA (435 nucleotides) under uncultured bacterium. RNAcentral describes it as "partial 16S ribosomal RNA". It matches the Rfam family "Bacterial small subunit ribosomal RNA", at positions 29 to 507 of the family's 1533-position model. The record is from RNAcentral.
AACGAACGCUGGCGGCAUGCCUAACACAUGCAAGUCGAACGAUUGCCUUCGGGUGAUAGUGGCGCACGGGUGCGUAACGCGGGGGAAUCUGCCCUUAGGUUCGGAAUAAUAGCUGGAAACGGCUGCUAAUACCGGAUGAUAUCGCGAGAUCAAAGAUUUAUCGCCUGAGGAUGGGCCCGCGUUGGAUUAGGUAGUUGGUGGGGUAAAGGCCUACCAAGCCGACGAUCCAUAGCUGGUCUGAGAGGAUGAUCAGCCACACUGGGACUGAGACACGGCCCAGACUCCUACGGGAGGCAGCAGUGGGGAAUAUUGGACAAUGGGCGCAAGCCUGAUCCAGCAAUGCCGCGUGAGUGAUGAAGGCCCUAGGGUUGUAAAGCUCUUUUACCCGGGAAGAUAAUGACUGUACCGGGAGAAUAAGCCCCGGCUAACUCCGUG